UACGGAGGAUCCAAGCGUUAUCCGGAAUCAUUGGGCUUAAAGGGUCCGUAGGCGGUCUAUUAAGUCAGUGGUGAAAGCCCAUCGCUCAACGAUGGAACGGCCAUUGAUACUGUUAGACUUGAAUUAUUGGGAAGUAACUAGAAUAUGUAGUGUAGCGGUGAAAUGCUUAGAUAUUACAUGGAAUACCAAUUGCGAAGGCAGGUUACUAUCAAUAUAUUGACGCUGAUGGACGAAAGCGUGGGGAGCGAACAGG
Molecule: ribosomal RNA, 253 nt
Filed under: uncultured bacterium
Lineage: Bacteria
Description: partial 16S ribosomal RNA
Rfam family: Bacterial small subunit ribosomal RNA
Source: RNAcentral